This is a long non-coding RNA of Coregonus clupeaformis (lake whitefish), 747 nucleotides long. RefSeq lists it as uncharacterized. The transcript has 3 exons. NCBI's taxonomy places the organism in Eukaryota, Metazoa, Chordata, Actinopteri, Salmoniformes, Salmonidae. The record is from RefSeq and is a predicted model, not a curated record.
GGCACCCAAGAUGCUCUCAACAUAGGUAAUUAAUUUGGAGUCUUAAUUAAAAUCAACUUGGUUAAUAUUUUAGGUUAUUAGACUGUAUUAAUUUGUAAAAUGCCACACCUUUGCGUUUUCAAGUUUGAAUUUGAGUUGUUUUUUCAUAUGGAAAAGUAAACAAGAUAUCUGCAAUACAAUUCUUAGUUCAUGGUGGCUUUACAUCAUCACUGUGCCACAUUUCUUUUAAACAUACUAAAGUUUAAUCUUCUGAUUAUUUUGUGUAUGAGGAGGUGGUCAUCACUUGCAAUUUCAGGUCAACUUAAUUUAAUAAUGCAAUGAAUGCAAUAUUCUUGUUCUUUAAACAGCAUCAGCGUUGGACCCGCGAUUUAAAGAACUGCCCUACCUGGAAAAAGAGGACAGAGAACAGGUCUACACAAAACUGGUUUUUGAGGCAGAAGUGUCCCACCAGAUGCAAGCAAUGGGAAAUCAGGAGGAAGACGAGGGAAGCUCAAGCACAAAGCUGUCAGGAUUCAAUGAAGAGACCACAGCUCCAAAUGAGUCACCUCCUUGUAAGAAGAAAGCCUUAGAUGCGCUGUUUGGCGAUUCCUUCACCCAAAGAGAAAGAAAAUCCACAAGCGAGACAGCCAGAGCAGAGGUGUUAAAGUACCGAGCAAAAGAUGCGUUGCCUUUGACUGAAAAUGCCAUGAAGUGGUGGAGAUCUCAGGAGAAAGAGCUACCUGUACUUUCCACCCUUGCUAAACGGUA